This 254-nucleotide ribosomal RNA is filed under the name uncultured bacterium. RNAcentral's name for it is "partial 16S ribosomal RNA". It matches the Rfam family "Bacterial small subunit ribosomal RNA", at positions 524 to 776 of the family's 1533-position model. The record is from RNAcentral.
UACGUAGGGGGCUAGCGUUGUUCGGAAUUACUGGGCGUAAAGGGCUCGUAGGCGGCCAACUAAGUCAGACGUGAAAUCCCUCGGCUUAACCGGGGAACUGCGUCUGAUACUGGAUGGCUUGAGUUUGGGAGAGGGAUGCGGAAUUCCAGGUGUAGCGGUGAAAUGCGUAGAUAUCUGGAGGAACACCGGUGGCGAAGGCGGCAUCCUGGACCAACACUGACGCUGAGUGAGCGAAAGCCAGGGGAGCAAACGGG